GGUCCCGUGGUGUAGCGGUUAACACUCAGGACUCUGAAUCCUGCGAAGGGAGCUCAAAUCUCCACGGGACCU
Non-coding RNA from Pristionchus pacificus, 72 nucleotides. The record is from Rfam. Lineage: Eukaryota; Metazoa; Nematoda; Chromadorea; Rhabditida; Neodiplogasteridae.